Molecule: ribosomal RNA, 477 nt
Filed under: uncultured bacterium
Lineage: Bacteria
Description: partial 16S ribosomal RNA
Rfam family: Bacterial small subunit ribosomal RNA
Source: RNAcentral
GAUUAACGCUGGCGGCGUGCAUAACACAUGCAAGUCGAACGAUGAAACUUAGUAGACUUCUUCGGAAAGACACUAAGCGGCUUAGUGGCGAACGGGUGAGUAACGCGUGAGUAACCUGCCUUACACAAGGGGAUAGCCUUUGGAAACGAAGAAUAAUACCCUAUAAAACCAUAAAAGCACAUGCUAGAAUGGUCAAAGUGAUAGCGGUGUAAGAUGGACUUGCGUCUGAUUAGCUAGUUGGUGAGAUAAAAGCUCACCAAGGCAACGAUCAGUAGCCGGCUUGAGAGAGUGUACGGCCACAUUGGGACUGAGACACGGCCCAGACUCCUACGGGAGGCAGCAGGGGGGAAUUUUGCACAAUGGGGGAAACCCUGAUGCAGCGACGCCGCGUGAUUUAGAAGGCCUUCGGGUUGUAAAAAUCUUUUGUAUAGGAAGAAAAUGACAGUACUAUACGAAUAAGGUCCGGCUAAUUACGUG